This 406-nucleotide ribosomal RNA is filed under the name uncultured bacterium. RNAcentral describes it as "partial 16S ribosomal RNA". It matches the Rfam family "Bacterial small subunit ribosomal RNA", at positions 30 to 526 of the family's 1533-position model. The record is from RNAcentral.
AUUGAACGCUGGCGGCAGGCCUAACACAUGCACGUCGAACGAGUGGCGGACGGGUGAGUAAUGUCUGGGACACUGCCUGAUGGAGGGGGAUAACUACUGGAAACGGUAGCUAAUACCGCAUACCAUCGGAUGUGCCCCGAUGGGAUUAGCUUGUUGGUGGGGUAACGGCUCAUCAAGGCGACGAUCCCUAGCUGGUCUGAGAGGAUGACCAGCCACACUGGAACUGAGACACGGUCCGGACUCCUACGGGAGGCAGCAGUGGGGAAGAGUGCACAAUGGGCGCAAGCCGGAUGCAGCCAUGCCGAGUGUAUGAAGAAGGCCUUCGGGUUGUAAAGUACUUUCAGCGGGGAGGCGUUACCCGCAGAAGAAGCACCGGCUAACUCCGUGCCAGCAGCCGCGGUAAUAC